GACGAACGCUGGCGGCGCGCUUAACACAUGCAAGUCGAACGGAAAGGCCUGCUUUCCCUUGUGGAUUGCGGGUACUCGAGUGGCGAACGGGUGAGUAACACGUGAGUGAUCUGCCCCCAACUUGGGUAUAAGCCUGGGAAACUGGGUCUAAUUCCCGAUAGGACUGCAGGGUGGUGCCUGUGGUGGAAAACGAUUUUCUAGUGGUUGGGGAUGAGCUCGCGGCCUAUCAGCUUGUUGGUGGGGUAAUGGCCUACCAAGGCGGCGACGGGUAGCCGGCCUGAGAGGGUGGACGGCCACAUUGGGGCUGAGAUACGGCCCAGACUCCUACGGGAGGCAGCAGUGGGGAAUAUUGCACAAUGGGCGGAAGCCUGAUGCAGCGACGCCGCGUGGGGGAUGACGGCCUUCGGGUUGUAAACUCCUUCCGACCGCGAGGAAGCCACCUGGUUGGAAGGGUGGUGACGGUAGUGGUAGAAGAAGCACCGGCUAACUACGUG
RNAcentral lists this ribosomal RNA (494 nucleotides) under uncultured bacterium. RNAcentral describes it as "partial 16S ribosomal RNA". It matches the Rfam family "Bacterial small subunit ribosomal RNA", at positions 28 to 507 of the family's 1533-position model. The record is from RNAcentral.